GUGGGGAAUCUUGCGCAAUGGGCGAAAGCCUGACGCAGCCAUGCCGCGUGGAUGAUGAAGGUCUUAGGAUUGUAAAAUCCUUUCACCGGUGAAGAUAAUGACUGUAGCCGGAGAAGAAGCCCCGGCUAACUUCGUGCCAGCAGCCGCGGUAAUACGAAGGGGGCUAGCGUUGCUCGGAAUUACUGGGCGUAAAGGGCGCGUAGGCGGACAGCUUAGUCAGAGGUGAAAGCCCAGGGCUCAACCUUGGAAUUGCCUUUGAUACUGGCUGUCUUGAGUACGGGAGAGGUGAGUGGAACUCCGAGUGUAGAGGUGAAAUUCGUAGAUAUUCGGAAGAACACCAGUGGCGAAGGCGACUCACUGGCCCGUUACUGACGCUGAGGCGCGAAAGCGUGGGGAGCAAACAGGAUUAGAAACCCGGGUAGUCC
RNAcentral lists this ribosomal RNA (425 nucleotides) under uncultured bacterium. RNAcentral's name for it is "partial 16S ribosomal RNA". It matches the Rfam family "Bacterial small subunit ribosomal RNA", at positions 354 to 796 of the family's 1533-position model. The record is from RNAcentral.